AAUAUGGAAGCCAAAAUAGUUGAUCCUUCGUCUGGAGAAGCCUUACCUCCUGGUCACAAAGGAGAACUUUGGCUGCGAGGUCCAGGAAUCAUGAAAGGUUAUGUUGGAGAUGAAAGGGCAACCGCUGAAACCUUGCAUCCUGAGGGAUGGCUAAAGACUGGUGACCUUUGUUACUUUGAUUCCGAUGGAUUUCUCUACAUCGUUGAUCGAUUAAAAGAAUU
RNAcentral lists this unclassified non-coding RNA (221 nucleotides) under Hevea brasiliensis (rubber tree). The record is from RNAcentral. Lineage: Eukaryota; Viridiplantae; Streptophyta; Magnoliopsida; Malpighiales; Euphorbiaceae.